This 2858-nucleotide ribosomal RNA is filed under the name Acinetobacter baumannii. RNAcentral describes it as "bacterial LSU rRNA". It matches the Rfam family "Bacterial large subunit ribosomal RNA". Lineage: Bacteria; Pseudomonadati; Pseudomonadota; Gammaproteobacteria; Moraxellales; Moraxellaceae. The record is from RNAcentral.
GUUGUAUAGUCAAGUAAUUAAGUGCAUGUGGUGGAUGCCUUGGCAGUCAGAGGCGAUGAAAGACGUGAUAGCCUGCGAAAAGCUCCGGGGAGGCGGCAAAUAUCCUUUGAUCCGGAGAUGUCUGAAUGGGGGAACCCACCUACUUUAAGGUAGGUAUUGCAACAUGAAUACAUAGUGUUGCAAGGCGAACGAGGGGAAGUGAAACAUCUCAGUACCCUUAGGAAAAGAAAUCAAUUGAGAUUCCCUCAGUAGCGGCGAGCGAACGGGGAUCAGCCCAUUAAGUUAUGUGUGUUUUAGUGGAACGCUCUGGGAAGUGCGAACGUAGAGGGUGAUAUUCCCGUACACGAAAGGGCACACAUAAUGAUGACGAGUAGGGCGAGGCACGUGAAACCUUGUCUGAAUAUGGGGGGACCAUCCUCCAAGGCUAAAUACUCCUGACUGACCGAUAGUGAACCAGUACCGUGAGGGAAAGGCGAAAAGAACCCCUGUGAGGGGAGUGAAAUAGAUCCUGAAACCGCAUGCAUACAAGCAGUGGGAGCACCUUCGUGGUGUGACUGCGUACCUUUUGUAUAAUGGGUCAGCGACUUAUAUUCAGUAGCGAGGUUAACCGUAUAGGGGAGCCGUAGAGAAAUCGAGUCUUAAUAGGGCGUUUAGUUGCUGGGUAUAGACCCGAAACCAGGCGAUCUAUCCAUGAGCAGGUUGAAGGUUGGGUAACACUAACUGGAGGACCGAACCCACUGUCGUUGAAAAGCCAGGGGAUGACUUGUGGAUAGGGGUGAAAGGCUAAUCAAGCCUGGUGAUAGCUGGUUCUCCCCGAAAGCUAUUUAGGUAGCGCCUCGGACGAAUACCAUAGGGGGUAGAGCACUGUUUCGGCUAGGGGGUCAUCCCGACUUACCAAACCGAUGCAAACUCCGAAUACCUAUGAGUACUAUCCGGGAGACAGACUGCGGGUGCUAACGUCCGUAGUCAAGAGGAAAACAAUCCAGACCGCCAGCUAAGGCCCCAAAAUCAUAGUUAAGUGGGAAACGAUGUGGGAAGGCAUAGACAGCUAGGAGGUUGGCUUAGAAGCAGCCACCCUUUAAAGAAAGCGUAAUAGCUCACUAGUCGAGUCGGCCUGCGCGGAAGAUGUAACGGGGCUAAAACUAUGUGCCGAAGCUGCGGANNAUGCUGGAGGUAUCAGAAGUGCGAAUGCUGACGUGAGUAACGACAAAACGGGUGAAAAACCCGUUCGCCGAAAGACCAAGGGUUCCAGUCCAACGUUAAUCGGGGCUGGGUGAGUCGACCCCUAAGGCGAGGCCGAAAGGCGUAGUCGAUGGGAAAAUGGUUAAUAUUCCAUUACUUCUGUGUAAUGCGAUGAGAGGACGGAGAAGGCUAAAUCAGCCUGGCGUUGGUUGUCCAGGUGAAAGGAUGUAGGCAUGUAUCUUAGGCAAAUCCGGGGUACUCUAUGCUGAGAUCUGAUAGCAAGCUGUACUUGUACAGCGAAGUGGUUGAUGCCAUGCUUCCAGGAAAAGUCUCUAAGCUUCAGUUACACAGGAAUCGUACCCGAAACCGACACAGGUGGUCAGGUCGAGUAGACCAAGGCGCUUGAGAGAACUCUGCUGAAGGAACUAGGCAAAAUGGUACCGUAACUUCGGGAGAAGGUACGCUGUUGUUGGUGAUGGAACUCGCUUCCUGAGCUGACGACAGCCGCAGAAACCAGGCCGCUGCAACUGUUUAUUAAAAACAUAGCACUCUGCAAACACGAAAGUGGACGUAUAGGGUGUGAUGCCUGCCCGGUGCUGGAAGGUUAAUUGAUGGGGUUAGCGUAAGCGAAGCUCUUGAUCGAAGCCCCAGUAAACGGCGGCCGUAACUAUAACGGUCCUAAGGUAGCGAAAUUCCUUGUCGGGUAAGUUCCGACCUGCACGAAUGGCAUAAUGAUGGCGGCGCUGUCUCCAGCAGAGGCUCAGUGAAAUCGAAAUCGCUGUGAAGAUGCAGUGUACCCGCGGCUAGACGGAAAGACCCCGUGAACCUUUACUGCAGCUUGACACUGAACUUUGACCUUACUUGUGUAGGAUAGGUGGGAGGCUUUGAAGCUGGAACGCUAGUUCCAGUGGAGCCGUCCUUGAAAUACCACCCUGGUAAUGUUGAGGUUCUAACUCUGUCCCGUGAUCCGGGACGAGGACCGUGUCUGGUGGGUAGUUUGACUGGGGCGGUCUCCUCCUAAAGAGUAACGGAGGAGUACGAAGGUGCGCUCAGCGUGGUCGGAAAUCACGCGUAGAGUAUAAAGGCAAAAGCGCGCUUAACUGCGAGACCCACAAGUCGAGCAGGUACGAAAGUAGGUCUUAGUGAUCCGGUGGUUCUGUAUGGAAGGGCCAUCGCUCAACGGAUAAAAGGUACUCUGGGGAUAACAGGCUGAUACCGCCCAAGAGUUCAUAUCGACGGCGGUGUUUGGCACCUCGAUGUCGGCUCAUCUCAUCCUGGGGCUGAAGCAGGUCCCAAGGGUAUGGCUGUUCGCCAUUUAAAGAGGUACGCGAGCUGGGUUUAGAACGUCGUGAGACAGUUCGGUCCCUAUCUACCGUGGGCGCUGGAAAUUUGAGAGGAUCUGCUCCUAGUACGAGAGGACCAGAGUGGACGAACCUCUGGUGUACCGGUUGUGACGCCAGUCGCAUCGCCGGGUAGCUAUGUUCGGAAGGGAUAACCGCUGAAAGCAUCUAAGCGGGAAGCCUACCUCAAGAUAAGAUUUCCCUAGGACUUUAUGUCCUCUAAAGAGCCGUUCGAGACUAGGACGUUGAUAGGUUGGAUGUGGAAGCAUAGUGAUAUGUGAAGCUGACCAAUACUAAUUGCUCGUGAGGCUUGACUAUACAACACCCAAGCAGUUG